AGAGGUAUUGAGUUCAAGCCUUAGCUUGGGCAAUUUUUUUUGUUUUUAAAUGAAUAAACCCUUAUCAUUAAUCAGUAGGCUUAUAAAUAAAUGUUGGUAAAAUAUAACAGAAUGGGCCUGCGGGUCUAGUGGUUAAGUGGAGUGGCAAAGUGCUGCUGGUCUUGAGUUUGAGUCUUGGUGUGUGUAAGGGAGUGUUUUAUUUUGCUACUUAUGCCGUGUAGGUGUUCUAGUUUAGUUGAAAUACUAAAGAGUUUGAGUGGAAUUUGAAUUAGGUGGUUGAGGGAGGGGUGGACGGUUUUGGGGAGUGGAUUAAGGGAUAUGGUGAGAAAAUUAAGGAGUGCGAAGUUUGAGAACAUCCAAAUUGUGGUUGCAAGUUC
Molecule: long non-coding RNA, 377 nt
Filed under: Gossypium raimondii (Peruvian cotton)
Lineage: Eukaryota; Viridiplantae; Streptophyta; Magnoliopsida; Malvales; Malvaceae
Description: long non-coding RNA (GRAI_LNC002044)
Source: RNAcentral